GAUGAACGCUGGCGGCGUGCUUAACACAUGCAAGUCGAACGAAACACCUUAUUUGAUUUUCUUCGGAACUGAAGAUUUGGUGAUUGAGUGGCGGACGGGUGAGUAACGCGUGGGUAACCUGCCCUGUACAGGGGGAUAACAGUCAGAAAUGACUGCUAAUACCGCAUAAGACCACAGCACCGCAUGGUGCAGGGGUAAAAACUCCGGUGGUACAGGAUGGACCCGCGUCUGAUUAGCUGGUUGGUGAGGUAACGGCUCACCAAGGCGACGAUCAGUAGCCGGCUUGAGAGAGUGAACGGGCACAUUGGGACUGAGACCCGGACCAAACUCCUACGCGAGGCAGCAGUGGGGAAUAUUGCACAAUGGGGGAAACCCUGAUGCAGCGACGCCGCGUGAGUGAAGAAGUAUCUCGGGAUGUAAAGCUCUAUCAGCAGGGAAGAAAAUGACGGUACCUGACUAAGAAGCCCCGGCUAACUACGUGCCAGCAGCCGCAGUAA
Molecule: ribosomal RNA, 497 nt
Filed under: uncultured bacterium
Lineage: Bacteria
Description: partial 16S ribosomal RNA
Rfam family: Bacterial small subunit ribosomal RNA
Source: RNAcentral